CGGUGUUUAACUGGCGUGAUGUGGGACGUCCUACCGGUGGGCUUAGCCUCGCGAGGGGCGGCCCAACUAAUAUCCCGUCGCGGUGCUCUUUACUGAGUGUCGAGUCGGGCCGGUACGUUUACUUUGAACAAAUUAGAGUGCUUAAAGCAGGCUAUCCUCGCCUGAAUACUGCGUGCAUGGAAUAAUGGAAUAGGACCUCGGUUCUAUUUUGUUGGUUUUCGGAACCCCGAGGUAAUGAUUAAUAGGGACAGAUGGGGGCAUUCGUAUUGCGACGUUAGAGGUGAAAUUCUUGGAUCGUCGCAAGACGGACAGAAGCGAAAGCAUUUGCCAAAAAUGUUUUCAUUAAUCAAGAACGAAAGUUAGAGGUUCGAAGGCGAUCAGAUACCGCCCUAGUUCUAACCAUAAACGAUGCCAGCUAGCGAUCCGCCGAAGUUCCUCCGAUGACUCGGCGGGCAGCUUCCGGGAAACCAAAGCUUUUGGGUUCCGGGGGAAGUAUGGUUGCAAAGCUGAAACUUAAAGGAAUUGACGGAAGGGCACCACCAGGAGUGGAGCCUGCGGCUUAAUUUGACUCAACACGGGAAACCUCACCAGGCCCAGACACCGGAAGGAUUGACAGAUUGAUAGCUCUUUCUUGAUUCGGUGGGUGGUGGUGCAUGGCCCGUUUUUAGUUGGUGGAGCGAUUUGUCUGGUUAAUUCCGAUAACGAACGAGACUCUAGCCUGCUAAAUAGGCGUACCUUAUGGUAUCGCGAAGGCCCCCGGCUUCGGCCGGUGGGUUUUUACUACCAACGUACAAACAAAUCUUCUAGAGGGACAGGCGG
This 819-nucleotide ribosomal RNA is filed under the name uncultured eukaryote. Its description in RNAcentral is "SSU rRNA". It matches the Rfam family "Eukaryotic small subunit ribosomal RNA", at positions 629 to 1426 of the family's 1831-position model. The record is from RNAcentral.